RNAcentral lists this ribosomal RNA (1104 nucleotides) under Actinomycetes bacterium. Its description in RNAcentral is "Actinobacteria bacterium partial 16S ribosomal RNA". The record is from RNAcentral. Lineage: Bacteria; Bacillati; Actinomycetota; Actinomycetes.
CUCCUCCACAAGGGUUGGGCCACCGGCUUCAGGUGUUACCGACUUUCAUGACUUGACGGGCGGUGUGUACAAGACCCGGGAACGUAUUCACCGCAGCGUUGCUGAUCUGCGAUUACUAGCGACUCCGACUUCAUGAGGUCGAGUUGCAGACCUCAAUCCGAACUGGGACCGGCUUUUUGGGAUUCGCUCCACCUCACGGUAUUGCAGCCCUUUGUACCGGCCAUUGUAGCAUGCGUGAAGCCCAAGACAUAAGGGGCAUGAUGAUUUGACGUCAUCCCCACCUUCCUCCGAGUUGACCCCGGCAGUAUCCCAUGAGUUCCCACCAUUACGUGCUGGCAACAUAGAACGAGGGUUGCGCUCGUUGCGGGACUUAACCCAACAUCUCACGACACGAGCUGACGACAACCAUGCACCACCUGUUCACCAGUGUCCAAAGAGUCCCGUAUUUCUACGGUGUUCUGGUGUAUGUCAAGCCUUGGUAAGGUUCUUCGCGUUGCAUCGAAUUAAUCCGCAUGCUCCGCCGCUUGUGCGGGUCCCCGUCAAUUCCUUUGAGUUUUAGCCUUGCGGCCGUACUCCCCAGGCGGGGAACUUAAUGCGUUAGCUGCGUCACGGAAACCGUGGAAUGGUCCCCACAACUAGUUCCCAACGUUUACGGGGUGGACUACCAGGGUAUCUAAGCCUGUUUGCUCCCCACCCUUUCGCUCCUCAGCGUCAGUUACGGCCCAGAGAUCUGCCUUCGCCAUCGGUGUUCCUCCUGAUAUCUGCGCAUUCCACCGCUACACCAGGAAUUCCAAUCUCCCCUACCGCACUCUAGUCUGCCCGUACCCACUGCAGGCCCGAGGUUGAGCCUCGGGAUUUCACAGCAGACGCGACAAACCGCCUACGAGCUCUUUACGCCCAAUAAUUCCGGAUAACGCUUGCGCCCUACGUAUUACCGCGGCUGCUGGCACGUAGUUAGCCGGCGCUUUUUCUGCAGGUACCGUCACUCUCGCUUCUUCCCUGCUAAAAGAGGUUUACAACCCGAAGGCCGUCAUCCCUCACGCGGCGUUGCUGCAUCAGGCUUCCGCCCAUUGUGCAAUAUUCCCCACUGCUGCCUCCCGUAGG